CAGAGUGACUCUUCAGACCCCUCAGUGGACUGAAAAAUGGAUAGAUGAGGGUCCGGUGACUGAAGGUGGACAAGAGUCAAGUGCUUCUAUUGAUGCUGAAUCAAAGGCCACACAGACGAAUGACACAGGUGGAAAACCAGUAUCUAAACCCAUUCCCAGCAAAGGGCAG
Long non-coding RNA from Nematolebias whitei (Rio pearlfish), 169 nucleotides. RefSeq lists it as uncharacterized. Lineage: Eukaryota; Metazoa; Chordata; Actinopteri; Cyprinodontiformes; Rivulidae. The record is from RefSeq and is a predicted model, not a curated record. The transcript has 3 exons.